AUAGUUUUUACUCGGAUGGAAAGCAAGACUGUCUCUUACACUACACCAGAAAACUCUUUUCAACAGCUGCAGAAUCAUACUGAUUGGAUGGGGUUUUAAAGAUGCUGAGAUCUUUUCAUACUGCUCAACUGCCAGCCUCCUCACUGCGUUCCAGGAAGAGAGUCUCAAUAAGAAUGCUGCCUCGGGUCGUUUGACUCCAGGCUGAAGAGGGUUAGUCAAAUCAAAGUUUAAACUUUACCAGCCUUUUGGAGUCUGAGAAAGCAAAAGUCAAAAGGCAAGCAAUGCCAUAACUAAUUACGUGAAUUAGAAGGAAUUUAAAGAAGAGAAACCAAACAAGGCAGGAUGUUAACCAUGGAAGAUACAAAAUGAAUAUGGCAUGGCCCUGCCCUCCAAGCUUACCCUCAGUUCAGGGAAAUACAUCAAAUGUUACAUAUGCUGAAGUGUGAAAGGCACCAUAAAAUAAAUAUAAAAAGGAAACAGUAGGUGGACAAAGGGGCAGUGAUCUACUCUGAGCCUAACAAAAACAAUUCAUUACAAUCAUGUAGGGUUGUUCCCUGAAACAACCAACUCUCCUAGGGAAGAGUGAAAUCGAAUCUAAAUUAACAGAUACAGUUGAGUUAAAACACAAGAAUGGGGAUUUUGAAGAAGCAAUCAAAUCACACCAGUCCCAAGAAGGUAAUGAUCUGGUAAGUGUUCUCCAUCUUUAAUUUCUAGGCUAUCAAUUUUACAAAGCAGAGUAGCGGCCAGACGUUACCAUCCCCCACCCUCCAUCUCCACCCCUCCAGCAGAGCUAUCAGGUGAGCUACGUUCAAUCCAAGCUCCGCCCUAAUUAAAUGUGUGACCUGGAGCAACUUCCAUCACUACUCAACGGCCUCCUUUCUGCGCCAAUAAAGCGAGGAACCCUAGCCGAUUCUGAAGUCCAUUUAUGCAGUGAAUUGUGAAAUUGAGAAAAGAAACCAGAAAGGAAACUCAAGAAAAACAAAAGUGAAAGUGCCCAAAGGAAAUACAGUAGUAAACAAAAGUACAAAAUUUUAUAUCUCACUGAAAAACGUGGCAGAGCUCCCAAAUGCUUUUUUUUUUUUUUCCCAGCAACCGUGAACACGAGACUUGGCUAAGAAUGAAACGUCUAUCACGCCCUCCAAAUGUGAAUACGAUCAGUGUAACGCGAAUCCACCUUGCUGCAUACAAGUGUCUUCUUAAACAAUGCUCCCUGGCCUUGAACACCCACUUAUUAAAAAUGUCUUAAAAAGUUAA
This is a long non-coding RNA of Neogale vison (American mink), 1254 nucleotides long. RefSeq lists it as uncharacterized. NCBI's taxonomy places the organism in Eukaryota, Metazoa, Chordata, Mammalia, Carnivora, Mustelidae. The transcript is spliced from 3 exons. The record is from RefSeq and is a predicted model, not a curated record.